UCGCCUGUUUAACAAAAACAUGUCCUUUAGGAUAUUUAUUUAAGGUCUGACCUGCCCAAUGAUGUUUUGAAUGGCCGCGGUAUUUUGACCGUGCAAAGGUAGCAUAAUCAUUUGUCUUUUAAUUGGAGGCUGGUAUGAACGGUUGGACGAGAAAUAAACUUUCUUUAUCUUAUUAUUAAUAAUUUUAUUUUUGAGUCAAAAAGCUUAAAUUUUUUUAUGGGACGAGAAGACCCUAUAGAAUUUUAUAGUUUCUAUUUAAUACAGGCUUUGUUUAUUUUUUGUAUUAUUUAUAUACUAUUUUGUUGGGGUGACAGGAAAAUAUUUUUAACUUUUCUUUUUAUUUUUCAUUAAUAUAUGUUUUUUUGAUCCAUUUUUAGUGAUUAUAAGAUUAAAUUACCUUAGGGAUAACAGCGUAAUUCUAUUGGAGAGUUCUUAUCGAUAGUGGAGUUUGCGACCUCGAUGUUGGAUUAAAA
RNAcentral lists this ribosomal RNA (473 nucleotides) under Curicta cf. pelleranoi JRR-2017. RNAcentral's name for it is "partial 16S ribosomal RNA". It matches the Rfam family "Bacterial large subunit ribosomal RNA", at positions 1796 to 2542 of the family's 2925-position model. Lineage: Eukaryota; Metazoa; Arthropoda; Insecta; Hemiptera; Nepidae. The record is from RNAcentral.